GACGAACGCUGGCGGCGUGCCUAAUACAUGCAAGUAGAACGCACAGUUUAUACCGUAGCUUGCUACACCAUAGACUGUGAGUUGCGAACGGGUGAGUAACGCGUAGGUAACCUGCCUGGUAGCGGGGGAUAACUAUUGGAAACGAUAGCUAAUACCGCAUAAUAUUGAUUAUUGCAUGAUAAUUGAUUGAAAGAUGCUAUUGCAUCACUACCAGAUGGACCUGCGUUGUAUUAGCUAGUAGGUGAGGUAACGGCUCACCUAGGCGACGAUACAUAGCCGACCUGAGAGGGUGAUCGGCCACACUGGGACUGAGACACGGCCCAGACUCCUACGGGAGGCAGCAGUAGGGAAUCUUCGGCAAUGGACGAAAGUCUGACCGAGCAACGCCGCGGGAGUGAAGAAGGGUUUCGGAUCGGAAAGCUCUGUUGUAAGAGAAGAAAGGGUGUGAGAGUGGAAAGUUCACACUGUGACGGUAUCUUACCAGAAAGGGACGGCUAACUACGUG
RNAcentral lists this ribosomal RNA (505 nucleotides) under uncultured bacterium. RNAcentral describes it as "partial 16S ribosomal RNA". It matches the Rfam family "Bacterial small subunit ribosomal RNA", at positions 28 to 507 of the family's 1533-position model. The record is from RNAcentral.